This 1188-nucleotide unclassified non-coding RNA is filed under the name Leishmania donovani. RNAcentral describes it as "gene:unknown". Lineage: Eukaryota; Euglenozoa; Kinetoplastea; Trypanosomatida; Trypanosomatidae. The record is from RNAcentral.
CUCCAUCACUCCCACUACUCGCGCAUCUAAACUAUGCGCAAUAUUCAUGUCUGUGGCCUCCUUGGGCACAUCCGAGUCCACCAGCGAAAGAAGCGAGCUUCUGCAGCCCUCGAAGCAGCCUGGCGAUGUACCAGUGGCCGCCGCUUUCCCUGCUGCUCAACUGGAAUGAGGCAGCAACGCAGAAGCGGCAACAGCCUUGCCCCUUGCAGAAGGAAACUCCGCGCUUGGCAGCUCACACAUAGAUGCAGCUGAUCGCGUGAUGGGCUCAGAGCUCACCGACCGUGCCCGCAAAACCGUAUCAGCUGCACUCAAAUAAUGAGAAUUCGACACUCGUGAGACAGAGAGCGCCUCCUCCAGUUGCUAGACUGCCUUGUCCCUGUGGCAGAGAUCCACGCCCUCAGCACCGAGCAAACGCCACCAGAGCGGCAGUCGGCCAAUCGUCACACUACAGAGACAUCUCCCACAUACUGCACGGCCUACCGCCGUCCUGUACAGCUUUUGCUGUCUCGAUGCUGCAACCCUGAUCGCAUCGUGCGCUUUGACUUCCGUAUGCUGCUUGCGCGUAGGUCCUGCCUCCACAGCCCCCGCCAGCCGCCUUCCAGUGCAAAAGGUGGCGUACAGCGUCCUUUAAACCGCUUUGGUUUCUUUGUGCGCGCGGUUUCCUUUCACGAACCUGCUCACAUGAGCGCCCCGCUCGAAAAGCUUCCGCGCGUCCUCGGCCCACAUCAGCGGCCUCGAUAAGUUCAAGAUGUGCCGCCUCCUCGAGAAGCUGGUGCUUAGCUCCUGCAUGCCUUUCGCACCUUGCCGGCGCUUUCCGACCCGUUGAGCCUCAGGGAGGUAGAUGUGUCCCACACAGCCAUCGUUGGCCUCAGGGUGGUGUGCCACUGCUGACGACUGCAGCCUUUGAAUGCGAGCACCUGCAAGAUGCUGAGUAGCGCCUCUACGCAGCAGGCGCUCAGGGGCCUCAAGGUCCCCAGGUCUCUCCUUCACCGGCGCGGACAGCAUAACCGUCUACUGCAGUCUCACCGUUUUGAGGUUGGUAGGCCUGCGCCGCGGUCUUGGGACCAGGUGGUAAUGGGCUGGAGUGACAUCUGCGUUUCGUGGAUCUCUCGUGAACCAACAUGCCGAGGUUGAGAGCACAUGGCAGUACCCGUCAUCACUCGACCACUUGGCGUAAGAAGUCUGCAG